RNAcentral lists this ribosomal RNA (507 nucleotides) under uncultured Planctomycetaceae bacterium. Its description in RNAcentral is "bacterial SSU rRNA". It matches the Rfam family "Bacterial small subunit ribosomal RNA", at positions 81 to 598 of the family's 1533-position model. Lineage: Bacteria; Pseudomonadati; Planctomycetota; Planctomycetia; Planctomycetales; Planctomycetaceae. The record is from RNAcentral.
AGCAAUACAGGAAAGCGGCGGAAGGGAGAGGACAACAUGGGAAACUGCCCUGGGGACGAGGAUAGCGUCGGGAAACUGACGGUAAUACUCGAUAAUGUUUGCGGACCAAAGGUGUGAUUCCGCCCCAGGAUGUGCCCAUGCCCCAUUAGCUAGUUGGCGGUGUAAUGGACCACCAAGGCUAUGAUGGGUAGCUGGUGUGAGAGCACGACCAGCCUCACUGGCACUGAGACACUGGCCAGACACCUACGGGUGGCUGCAGUCGAGAAUCUUCGGCAAUGGACGAAAGUCUGACCGAGCGACGCCGCGUGCGGGAUGAAGGCCUUCGGGUUGUAAACCGCUGUCGAGGGGAAUCAAAUGCAAGGGGGUUCUCCCCCCUGCUUGAGAGAACCCUGGAGGAAGGGGAGGCUAAGCUCGUGCCAGCAGCCGCGGUAAGACGAGCUCCCCAAACGUUAUUCGGUAUCACUGGGCUUAAAGAGUUCGUAGGCGGCGAAGUAGGUGAGGUGUGAA